This 520-nucleotide ribosomal RNA is filed under the name uncultured bacterium. Its description in RNAcentral is "bacterial SSU rRNA". It matches the Rfam family "Bacterial small subunit ribosomal RNA", at positions 777 to 1291 of the family's 1533-position model. The record is from RNAcentral.
AAUAGAUACCCAGGUAGUCCACGCCGUAAACGAUGUACACUAGACCGGUGCCGCUCUGACGCGGUAUCGGUCGGAGUAAAAACGAUAAGUGUACCGCCUGGGGAGUACGGUCGCAAGGCUAAAACUCAAAUGAAUUGACGGGGGCUCACACAAGCGGUGGAGCAUGUUGCUUAAUUCGAGGCAACGCGAAGAACCUUACCUAGGCUUGACAUGCAUGGAUUAACCGGAUGAAAGUUCGGCCACACCCGCAGGGGUGGAACAUGCACAGGUGCUGCAUGGCUGUCGUCAGCUCGUGCUGUGAAGUGUCAGGUUAAGUCCUUUAACGAGCGCAACCCUUAUCGUUAGUUGCUCGGCGCAAGCCAGUACUCUAGCGAGACUGCCGGUGUCAAACCGGAGGAAGGUGGGGAUGACGUCAAGUCCUCAUGGCCUUUAUGCCUAGGGAUGCAGACGUGCUACAAUGGUGCAUACAAAGCGACGCAAGGCCGCGAGGCGGAGCAAAUCGCAAAAAAAUGCACCCCGU